RNAcentral lists this small RNA (509 nucleotides) under Pan troglodytes (chimpanzee). RNAcentral describes it as "retained intron". Lineage: Eukaryota; Metazoa; Chordata; Mammalia; Primates; Hominidae. The record is from RNAcentral.
CUCUUUCCCCCGCCUCCUCUCCUAGCCUCCCCAUCUCUCCUCUACCCCAAUCUUCUGCCCUCUCCUCUGCUUCCCCGGCCUCCCCCUUCUGACUCUCCUCUCCCCUCUUUGUAUCCCCCAUCUUGCCUCCCUGCUUCCCACAUCCGACCACCCGACCUCUCUCCUCAGACGUGGACGAAUGUCGCGAGCGAGGCCCAGCCCUGUGCGGGUCGCAGCGCUGUGAGAACUCUCCCGGCUCCUACCGCUGUGUCCGGGACUGCGAUCCUGGGUACCACGCGGGCCCCGAGGGCACCUGUGACGAUGUGAACGAGUGUGAAACACUACAGGGUGUAUGUGGAGCUGCCCUGUGUGAAAAUGUCGAAGGCUCCUUCCUCUGUGUCUGCCCCAACAGCCCGGAGGAGUUUGACCCCAUGACUGGACGCUGUGUUCCCCCACGAACUUCUGCUGGCACGUUCCCAGGCUCGCAGCCCCAGGCACCUGCUAGCCCCGUUCUGCCCGCCAGGCCACCU